This is a long non-coding RNA of Oreochromis aureus, 2350 nucleotides long. RefSeq lists it as uncharacterized. Lineage: Eukaryota; Metazoa; Chordata; Actinopteri; Cichliformes; Cichlidae. The transcript is spliced from 3 exons. The record is from RefSeq and is a predicted model, not a curated record.
UUACACUAUAUCAAACCUGUAAAGUUCCUCUUUCCUCAACUCCGUGGUCUGCCAUCGCUGACUGUGACAGAAUAAUUCUGCCAUAAUGGGCCCAGGGGACUCAAAUGUCACCUCAGAGAAGAAGUUGCUCACCCAGCUCUGGAGUUACUGCCGGAGCGUAAUCCAGGCUGCAAAUCAGCAUCAGAGUCACAUACAGUUCGGGCAAGGAGGAUGUGGCUGCCUCCCUGGGAGCCCUUGCUGCCUGGUUUUUUUCUUCAUAGGCGUGACAGUUUCCCUACCGUCGCUCGCUGCUCACUUGUUGGACCCUCCACUGCAGGGAAGAAGGCUCCCUCGCCAUUGGCGCCCUACCCCAUCUCCUCUCCCUCCUUGAACGUCAGUUGAGUCAGCAGACAAAGGACCGGCAGUGCUAGUCACCACAGUGAGUAGACCGGACUCUGUUGUUUUAAUAAAUCCUGUCACAAAGGAUAAAAAUACAGAUAAUCAGGAGGGGACAGUUUCCAUACAUGCGGCCCCACCUUCUCGGAGGAGACGGUGCCCACGCCAUCAUCAAACCAAAUCUCACCUCACUCCUGUGGCUUCAGAAGAAUCAGCUGAUUCUGGACCAGCAGUGCAAGGCGCCGCACUGCCGUAUCACCAUCAUCACCAUCGGCUCGACCGUCUGUAGCUGCAGCGCUACCAGAGGGGCCCGCUCUGCCCGAGCAGGAGGUCAGCGCGCCGGAGGGGCCCGCUCAAUCGGAGCUAGAUGGCAGCGCCCUGAAACGGCCUGCACGUCCACGUCCAACACGGCUUGCACAUCAUGAACCACCUACUGUGCUUUGCCAUUGCCUAUCGGAGUUGUUACAUGGUCAACCGCCGGAAUUGCAACGUCACCACCGCCAGGUCCACGGCCGCCCACCUGAACAGUUUCACUGCUACUGGAUUCGUGGUCAGCCAUCAGAGCUACUUCGAGGCUGUCAUCAGACCCCUGGCCGCCCACCAGAACUGCUCCACCAGGCCCGUGGCAGGCCGCCUGAACUGUUCUGCCACUGUUGCUGUCCAUCGGGUUGACCACCAGAAUUGUUUUGUCGCCACCGCCUGGACUGCAGUUGGCUGUUAUGUGGCCGUCGUGGGGAUUGCAAUUGGGCCUACGGACUGGUUGAAGUUUUGGACUGAUUGAGGUUGUUUUUGUUUAGUUUGGGGAGUGGUUAUUAUACAUGCCUUUUCCUUGCAGUGGAAAUGUUGACCAUUUCUAUAUUAGAUUGUUUCCUGGCAUUUUUAUUAUAACACAUCUAAAAUUACAAACUUUAAACAUGCAGCAUUUUGUCUUUGAGUGUUGAAAUCAUUUGUUGAAUUUAAUUAGAUUUACUUUGGCAAGAAUAUUACUUUUCAAUCUUCUAUUAAAGAAAUAGUUGCCUCUUUGUUUUCAUAAAUGGUUAUUACUGUUAGUGACACUGUCUCAACCUAAGAGGGCAUGUUUUUCUGCAACUCCAAAAAACUGAAGGCAGCAACUGAAUGCUGGUGCUGUGAAGGCCUGGAAGAGCCAGCAUAGGGUGAUAUCCCUGUGUUCUGGACUUCACAUUGACAAUGACUCUAAACUGUUUUUCUAGUUAUAAAAACAGUCCUUAUACUUAGAAUCAUGCUAGUUUUUCCAGUUACCUUUGAAUCUCUGAAAAUGGGGGACUAUGUCUGUCAUUUCUAACCUGUUAAGUGAAUACUUAUGUUAAACUUCUAGAAUCAAAGCUAAGAGGCAAAUUACAAACAAUGUCUAAAAACUUGCAGACCUACAUAAGUGUACACACAUGGAAUCCUACUUUAAUGUCUUAAGGCUUCACUGAGAGACCCUGAGUCUGUGUGCCAGUGUGUUUAGUCACCACCUCCUAUACUUGUCCCUGUGACACCAUAAUUCACACAUUGUGUUAUGGCCUGCAGGUUUUGUUUGGAUUUCAUAAUUAAAUUACAUUUAAUAAGUGUAUUCAGUCUGUUUUCUCCUGUACAAGAAUUCCAAUUUAUCUCUGUUGUUGUUAGGCUACAUUUUGAUUUGUCUUAGUUUCAUGAGUAUUUCACAAGAUUAUAUUUGAGGCCUAGUUUAGAUGUUAUGGAGUUUUUAUUCUUUGUGUUUUUCUUGUACUUUGGAGUUUAGUGUUUUUGUUUAUUUGCUGCUCUUAAUGGUUUCUUUGUCCUCAGUUUUGAUCAUUCAGUCCUUCACAUUUUGAAUCUUUAGUUCUAGUCUGUGUUUAUGACAUUCACUUAGUCCCCACAAUGUUUCCCUUUAUCUCAUCCUUCAGUGGCAGUCCCCUCUGUCAAGUUCAGUUUUAGUUCUGUUUUAUUUUGGUGGACAAUUAUCUAUAUUGUCCAGUAAUUUUACUUCUGG